This 1038-nucleotide long non-coding RNA is filed under the name Capsicum annuum. RNAcentral describes it as "long non-coding RNA (CANN_LNC001577)". Lineage: Eukaryota; Viridiplantae; Streptophyta; Magnoliopsida; Solanales; Solanaceae. The record is from RNAcentral.
ACAGGUUUUAGCAAAAGAAGACACAUAACGUGUCUAAAAAAGUGUUUUACAUAACUAACAAAAGAAACUAACGCACAAUCCCUAUAUUUUACUAAAGUUUCUCUUCUUCUCCUUCAACAAAACUACAUAAUUCUUCAUGACUUCUCUUUCAAAAUGGCUUCCUUUCUUUGCUGUAAAAGAAGGUCAAUCAACAGAUUCAACAUGUACACCUCCUUGAGCCAACAAUAGAAGAAAAAAAAUACAAUUAAGCAAUGAAAUUAAUGGGAAAAAAAUCAUAACUUUGCAAUAAAUUAACUGAAAAAAUAAUAAUCAAGAAUUCAUUACGUGAGUUCUAGUUGACUGCUUUGUUAAGUUCAAAUCCAUUUGUGAAUCUACCCAAAUUUCUAGAUGAUAAAAUUUAGAAUAAUCCCACAUAUCAUCAUUUUCAGUUUGUUCUUUGACUGAUCUAGAGAUUGAUUUGAAGAAGCGUCAACAACCUUUCUGAGCACAUAGAGAUGCAAGAAAUUUAUAGACAUUAGAGGUAUAAGGUGCAAUAGUUUGGGGAUAAAAUGCAGGAUUACUUAUCCUACGUUUGGAUAAAGGCAUUACUUAGUCCCAAAAUUAUUUAAGUAAUGGAAUUAGUUAUCACCUAUGGUGGAAUAACUAAUCGUUGGAUUAGUUAUUCCGGAAUAACUUAUUCUAGUUAUUCUCAACUAAAUAACCUCUUCAGAGUAGAUGUCUCCCAUGUUUUACACAGACUAUAGACACAAACACAUAAUGCAGAUUCAAACAACAGAAUAUCCCAUUCUUAAUCAAGCAAAAAAAUUCUAAAUUUUAAGAAAAUUACUCCAAUACCACAUUGAGUAUUCAAAUUAUUUCACAAUUUAAACUUCAAAGAUUGAAAAAAAAGAUUGAAUUUAACCUCGUGACGAUCUCUUUUGUCGAUAUCAAAAGUAUACAGAGGCUAGGGAUACAAUGUAUUCUGCAAAUUCAUUAAUUUAUUUGUUGAAGAACUCACAAUUUCAUCAAAGAACCAGAGGAUUCCAUGUUAGAAGAUGC